Zootermopsis nevadensis is the source of this 306-nucleotide non-coding RNA. Lineage: Eukaryota; Metazoa; Arthropoda; Insecta; Blattodea; Termopsidae. The record is from RefSeq and is a predicted model, not a curated record.
CGUUCAUCUGUGAUCGGUUACGGACGUCGAUGUUCGAGUGCUGUUAUCUACGGAAGUUAUUCAGGUGUGGGUUCCUCGCUUGCUGGCGAAAGAAACUUCCGGUGGAAUUCAUCACCUUCGUGUCAAGACAAUGUUACUUAUCAUUUUGUUUUCCAGCAUAAGUUCCUUCAUCUGGUGUUCCAGCGCGUUGUAUGCGCACAGUUACUUUGAUGGCGUAUCCGAAGGGUGCUGGGAAAAUAUUUCCUGUAGAGGAAACUCCAGCGCUACGUUUUCAAUGAUCCGAAAUUGUCAAUGCGACGCUCAGUG